AUGCUUCUGCUCUAUGUUGAUGAUAUUGUCAUCACUGCCUCCCGCACGGAUCUUCUUCGCGACAUCAUUGGUCGCCUCGGUUCUGAGUUUCGACUGAAGGAUCUCGGCGCAUUGCACUUCUUCCUCGGCAUUAAUGUGCGACGUGAUGACACUGGGUUCUUUCUGCAUCAGGGACAGUAUGCUCUUGAUCUUCUGGACCGUGCCGGCAUGACUGACUGCAAACCAGCCGCCACACCUGCUGAGGCCAAGCCGAAGCUCUCAGCCUCCGCCGGCCAGCCUGCCACCGACGCUGCUCUUUAUCGCAGUAUUGUGGGCGCCCUUCAGUACCUCACGCUCACCAGACCAGACAUUCAGUUCGCAGUCCAGCAAGUUUGCUUGCAUAUGCACUCGCCUCGUGAUGUCCACUGGUCUUUGGUCAAGCGCAUUCUUCGGUAUAUUCGUGGCACUCCGACCUACGGUCUUCGUCUCCCUGCAUCCGCCUCGACUGAGCUCCUCGCUUAUACUGACGCGGAUUGGGCUGGCUGUCCAGACACUCGUCGCUCCACGUCUGGAUAUUGUGUCUUCUUCGGUGACUCCUUGGUCUCUUGGUCCUCUAAACGGCAGCCCACUGUUUCCCGUUCGAGUGCUGAGGCCGAGUACCGUGCUGUCGCCAAUGUUGUUGCGGAGACUUGUUGGCUUCGUCAUCUUCUUGGUGAGCUUCGGAUUUCUCUUCCGAAGGCUACUGUGGUCUUCUGUGAUAACGUAUCGGCUACCUAUCUCGCGGCUAAUCCGGUGCAGCACAAGCGCACUAAACACAUCGAGCUCGAUGUUCACUUUGUCCGCGAGAAGGUUCAGUUGGGUCAGCUCCGUGUACUUCAUGUACCGACCACCCAACAG
Molecule: ribosomal RNA, 876 nt
Filed under: Triticum aestivum (bread wheat)
Lineage: Eukaryota; Viridiplantae; Streptophyta; Magnoliopsida; Poales; Poaceae
Description: partial small subunit ribosomal RNA
Source: RNAcentral